GUAAAUGAGGAAUUUAUGGUCCACUUUUUAGUGUGUACUAAAAUCCUUAUUUCCUUCCUUUUGGAUAUACUCCCUUAAUUAAAUCCUUUUAAUGAGGGUAUCAAGGUAUUCAAAUCUUUUACUGUGAAGAAAUUAGAGUGUUCAAAGCAGGCGUAACCUAGCCUUUGAAUAUAUUAGCAUGGGAUAAUGAAAUAGGACUUUAGUUCUACUUUCGUUGGUUUCUAGGGCUGAAGUA
This 235-nucleotide ribosomal RNA is filed under the name uncultured fungus. RNAcentral describes it as "partial small subunit ribosomal RNA". The stretch from base 43 to 235 matches the Rfam family "Eukaryotic small subunit ribosomal RNA", at positions 676 to 864 of the family's 1831-position model. Lineage: Eukaryota; Fungi. The record is from RNAcentral.